Molecule: ribosomal RNA, 497 nt
Filed under: uncultured bacterium
Lineage: Bacteria
Description: partial 16S ribosomal RNA
Rfam family: Bacterial small subunit ribosomal RNA
Source: RNAcentral
GUUGAACGCUGGCGGCGUGCCUAAUACAUGCAAGUCGAGCGAACAGAUGAGGAGCUUUCUCCUCUGACUUUAGCGGCGGACGGGUGAGUAACACGUGUAUAACCUACCUAUAAGGCUGGGAUAACUUCGUGAAACCGGAGCUAAUACCGGAUAAUAUAUUGAACCGCAUGGUUCAAUAGUUUAAGACGGUUUUGCUGUCACUUAUAGAUGGAUCCGGUCCGGAUUAGCUAGUUGGUAAGGUAACGGCUUACCAAGGCAACGAUGCGUAGCCGACCUGAGAGGAUGACCAGCCACACUGGAACUGAGACACGGUCCAGACUCCUACGGGAGGCAGCAGUAGGGAAUAUUGCGCAAUGGGCGCAAGCCUGACGGAGCAACGCCGCGUGUGUGAUGAAGGUCUUCGGAUCGUAAAGUUCUGUUAUCAGGGAAGAACAAAGGUGUAAGUAAACCUGCACGCAUUGACGGUACCUAAUGAGAAAGCAACGGCUAACUCCGUG